This 379-nucleotide unclassified non-coding RNA is filed under the name uncultured Gammaproteobacteria bacterium. RNAcentral describes it as "contains 16S-23S intergenic spacer region". The record is from RNAcentral. Lineage: Bacteria; Pseudomonadati; Pseudomonadota; Gammaproteobacteria.
UCCGGUUUGUCACCGGCAGUCUCAGUAAAGUGCCCACCAUUACAUGCUGGCAAUUACCGACAAGGGUUGCGCUCGUUGCGGGACUUAACCCAACAUCUCACGACACGAGCUGACGACAGCCAUGCAGCACCUGUGUAACAGUUCCCUUUCAGGCACUUCCACAUCUCUGCAGAAUUCUGUCCAUGUCAAGGGUAGGUAAGGUUUUUCGCGUUGCAUCGAAUUAAUCCACAUCAUCCACCGCUUGUGCGAGUCCCCGUCAAUUCCUUUGAGUUUUAAUCUUGCGACCGUACUCCCCAGGCGGUCAACUUCGCGCGUUAGCUACGUUACCAAGAAAAUUAAUCCCCGACAACUAGUUGACAUCGUUUAGGGCGUGGACUAC